Molecule: ribosomal RNA, 492 nt
Filed under: uncultured bacterium
Lineage: Bacteria
Description: partial 16S ribosomal RNA
Rfam family: Bacterial small subunit ribosomal RNA
Source: RNAcentral
GACGAACGCUGGCGGCGUGCUUAACACAUGCAAGUCGAACGGAAAGGCCUGCUUUCCCUUGUGGAUUGCGGGUACUCGAGUGGCGAACGGGUGAGUAACACGUGAGUGAUCUGCCCAACUUGGGUAUAAGCCUGGGAAACUGGGUCUAAUUCCCGAUAGGACUGCAGGGUGGUGCCUGUGGUGGAAAACGAUUUUCUAGUGGUUGGGGAUGAGCUCGCGGCCUAUCAGCUUGUUGGUGGGGUAAUGGCCUACCAAGGCGGCGACGGGUAGCCGGCCUGAGAGGGUGGACGGCCACAUUGGGACUGAGAUACGGCCCAGACUCCUACGGGAGGCAGCAGUGGGGAAUAUUGCACAAUGGGCGGAAGCCUGAUGCAGCGACGCCGCGUGGGGGAUGACGGCCUUCGGGUUGUAAACUCCUUUCGACCGCGAGGAAGCCACCUGGUUGGAAGGGUGGUGACGGUAGUGGUAGAAGAAGCACCGGCUAACUACGUG